CGCGUAGGUGGGAUGAUAAGUCGGAUGUGAAAGGCCUGGGCUUAACCUAGGAACUGCAUUUGAUACUGUCAUUCUAGAGUGAAACAGAGGGUGGUGGAAUUUCCGGUGUAGCGGUGAAAUGCGUUGAUAUCGGAAGGAACACCCGUGGCGAAGGCGACCACCUGGGUUUUUACUGACACUGAGGCGCGAAAGCGUGGGUAGCGAACA
RNAcentral lists this ribosomal RNA (207 nucleotides) under uncultured bacterium. Its description in RNAcentral is "partial 16S ribosomal RNA". It matches the Rfam family "Bacterial small subunit ribosomal RNA", at positions 568 to 774 of the family's 1533-position model. The record is from RNAcentral.